This 1233-nucleotide long non-coding RNA is filed under the name Equus caballus (horse). Its description in RNAcentral is "lncRNA (ENSECAG00000050205.1)". Lineage: Eukaryota; Metazoa; Chordata; Mammalia; Perissodactyla; Equidae. The record is from RNAcentral.
AUGGAUCAUCACCCACAGUCCUGGCACGCACACCUGCUCCUCAUGGUCAGGAUGCAGGUGAUGGUGAUAAGAAUGACUGGCCAGGGACUCAGGACUCGGGACUCAGCUCCAGGCUCAGAUAGAUCAAAGCCCUGCCCAGGUAGAAUCUUUUAGACCAGAUGGUUGAACUCGGAUUUCAGUGGGACAGCUCGCCUCCCGAAGUGUGCAUCUCUCUGCUCCUGACAGGCCUGAAGCUGCCAGUGUCACCACACACACACGGAGGACAGGUGGCAGGACACAUGUAUGGCCUGAUCAGCAGGUUCCAGCUCCACCCUGCCCUUCAGGCUGACAGACCAGCUCCUCUAAGGUCAGAGCCCAGCAUGCUCAGCUGAGCAGAACAUACGGUCCCUCCUUGGGAGCCUUUGAUAUUCUGGGCUGCAGCUGACUGAAAAGGACCAAAUUAUGACACCUGAUUCUUCAGGUCAGACACACCAAAUGGGGAGACCCAACUGAGACUUCCAGAGGCCUCGAGCAUGAAAAAAGAUUAUGAUUUCUUCCCUGCCAAUAUUUCAAAAUAAUAUACUAACAUGUGACAUAAGUAGACACUAUUUUGGGGCCAUCAACUAUCUGAUGCCAGAGAGCUUCCUUUGCCAUCCAGUUCCACUCCCCACUGCUCUGGGACCUGGGAAGGGAAAUGAACACACUGUUUCAACAAGUUCUCUUGUUCUUGGCUUCUGGUUGGGUUUAGCAAAUGGCAAACAGAGCAGGAGAUGAGAGGGAGGGAGGGAGGAAGGUAGAGUCCUGGGCUGGCUGUGGGUCUCUACCCCCUGCCCUCCCCACCCAGCCCUCUGUGUCUCCAAGUUCACGUUACCUUUCCAGGACCUAGGCCCCUCAGGCCAGGGAGGAAGCGGGGUUGCAGGGCCCUCUGUUAGUAGCCCAAGGACCCUGGACUAUCUUUUGUGGUUUCCCAGCACCUUUGUAACUAGUUCCCUUAUUAAACUCAACUUUGCUCAAUUCCAUUGUGUCACCUAUUUCCUGCUCGGACUUAAAUAAUGUCAAAUUAUUUCAAAAAUGUUUCCUUUGAUGCCCCAACUUUGUUGAUGUCUUCAGAACACCCUGAGCUUUUUUCUUAGUCAUCCAGUGCAUCCAGCGAGGGCCAGCCUAUAAUGCAAACAGAUCUGGAAGCUCCCAGGCUGGAGCCGCUACCCCUACAUCAUACACUGUUCAUGGGGGCAGAGGCCCUAAGGUGCACAG